Molecule: ribosomal RNA, 399 nt
Filed under: Triticum aestivum (bread wheat)
Lineage: Eukaryota; Viridiplantae; Streptophyta; Magnoliopsida; Poales; Poaceae
Description: partial small subunit ribosomal RNA
Source: RNAcentral
AUGCUUCAUGAGUUGCGCAGUAUUGCGUGGGAGUGUGCGCUGACAGUUCUUUGUGUUGUGGAGACACAUAUUGCGAAGAUCCAUGUGGAAGGUUUGGUAGGGUCUCUUGGUUUUGAUUGUGCUUUUGGUGUUUGCAGUUCUGGGAGAAGCAGAGGCUUGUGUAUCUUUUGGAAGAAUUUCGUCCAACUAGAACUCAAGAACUUUUAAUAGUAUCUUAUUGAUAUGAAAGUGAUAUAGGUUUUCCAUGAUCCAUGGAGAUUGACAUGUUGGUAUGGUGAGGCAACCUCUAUCUUUUGUUAUAAGAUAUGGGACACAAUGAAGUUCCUGAAAGCAUACUGUGAUUUACCCUGGAUGUGCAUUGGCUUUUUAACGAGGUUUUAUAGUGGGAGGAAUAGAUGA